UGGGUUUGGUUAAAUGCAUCCUUUAUGGCACUAUGAUCUAUCCUUUCUUUGAAAGUUUUUGAACAGUGGAAAGACCCAUUUUGUUGCAUUUCCCCAUUCUUGUUUUUAAAAGAAAAAAUCCCAAGCCCUACAUAUGGCUUGUAUUGAACUUUUACAUUUGAAUUAAAGAUUGUUAAACAUAAAGCCUUCAUAUGUAUUACUUCAAAGUAAUUAUAACAAUGGAGUUUAGUCUGAGAAACAAUUUGAGCAUAAGAUUUAAUUUUAAAAGUAGGUUUAGGUCUACUUGCAUUCUAUUAACUAUCUUUCUGCGCUACUUUUGUUGGGCAAAAUGCACAGGAUUAUGAAAGGCUAUAGGUUCUUAGAGGUAGUGGUGGCUGUUAACACACAGCCUCAAGAUUGCCAUACCUGUUUUUACUCUUGGGUGGGGGUUAUAGCUUAAAUCUGAAGAGUUGAUCAUGCUGCACAAUGGAAACACUCCUUUCUCAAAAGUUUAGGAUGUUUCGAUGCUGUUGUCAGUUAAUUGUCAACUUCAUUGAAUCUCCUUCCAUUAGAACAAGAGACUUUUUGAUUCACUGUUAAGAGUGUUACUGUUGUCUGUGUACAAUGGGAGCUUGAUUUCCCCGUGUAAAGUUAGACUUCCUAACAGAAGCUAAAGAAAUUGAAUGGUUUGGCUUUGUUUUUAGUUAAGUUUCCAUUCAAGUCUGUACAUCAUAGAUUGGACUGUAGAAUGCCUUCAUCCUUUGCACAUUGUUCUUGGUGGUAAUUGGCCAAAGAAAAAUUAUAAAUGAAAUCUUUCUUAAUAUGCUGAAGUUUAGUAGUAUUGUGCCUGAGUACAAAAGGAGAGACCUAUUGAGUACUUUCUUUAUAGGAAACAAGAUAGUACUUUAAUGGGAAACUCUAGUAGAAUAUAAAAAGCAUGUCACCAAAUUCUGGUUGUGUGAUAGGCACAUGGUGUGCUAAUUAAGGAAAAGAAUCUCCUUAGAAAAUGCUAAUUUCUAUUCACACUUGGAAAUGGGUAGUUCUUCCAUAAUUAUAUCAAUGAGGAAGUUUUGCCCUAAGUCAUAAUAAUUGGUAAUACAAGAUUUUUCUGUAUGGAAAUAAGGGUCUCAUUUUGAAGGGAGUCUUUUACAAUUUGGUUGAACUGUUCAGGAGGAACUCUUUAAGAAUGAUAAUACAAGUAGGGGUGUUCAUCAGACACCCAAGGGUGAACUUGUGAAUGUAUGUGGGUGGGGGGGCUGGAGGGGAAAUGGGGAAGUCUGCCUAUAAAAUUAAUGUUUCAGUUUAUUUUUCAGAUUACAUGCCUUUCUUUAUAAGGGAUGCUGACACAGACCCCUAAAAUAAGCUUUUGGUAGUACUGUACCUUUGAAGAGUGGUGAAGGAUGCUAAUGGAUAAUCUGCUGAAAGUUGGGGCUUUGAUAGCCUUCUGUGGGCUGUAGAGAGCUAAACUUGGUUUAGCAAAUAAUGUUGCUUAGUUUCCACUGACAUUUGACUUUCAUCACUAAAACAGCAGUAUUCCAAGGUUGUAAGCUACUCAUAGAUUUGCAGUAAGUUACAAUGUAUAUACAUAACAGCUUUUAGUCUAAUGGGAAUUUAAAUAAUGACAUUUUCUAAAAGUUGACAGUGAAACUUGGGGUGGGAGAGGGAAGAUAAUUUUGAAUAUUUUAGCCAUUUUUUUUUCUUCAUUUAAGAGACCACCUACCCCUAUUUCCUCCUCUUCUCUGUUUCAGAGGAACCCUCUUUUUAAAGAACUUUCCUAAUCUUUAAAACUGCAUUCUCCUAAGACACUAGUGUAUUUAAUAGGUGUAUUAUAAACUUAAACCCACUGGCUCGAACUACUUAGUAAAACCAUAAUUCUUUUUGCCUAGAACAUUAAUUAAGCUCCUUUAAGAGGUGUGAUAAACACCACCACUCUAUAGAUGUCUUUUUAUACCACUAAUAUAAACAUACAAUGAUUUGGGAAAUUGUAAUGUUACGCCUGUGCAAUUCUUACAAGUGGCAUCUUAAUGGCAGAUAAAAACUUAGAUACUUGGCUUGGGCAAGCCACCAAGGUGUGGCAGAAUGUCUUGCGGUGUUCUUGGACUGCAAUUAUGCACUAUUAAAGUAGUGGCCUGCUACAUAACUGCAUUUAGCCAGCAUUUCUGCAGUGCGUAACUGUGAGGAACGUAGUACCGCAAAUGGCAAUGGACAUUAGGACCCGGAUGUAGUAUUCCUGCUUGCUCCAAGAUUCUCAUUGCCGACUGCAUACAGGUAGGUAACAAGCAAUAUAAUCUAACUUGGUGACUUGCUAUGUACUUUUAUCCGUGGGCAUUCUGACAUCACACUUCUGACCAUGAAAUUACAGUGCAGCACCUAACACUUGUAUGGUAAAGUUAGCUUACAUCAAAACUGCGUGGGUCUGGGGUUAGAGUUGUAAUUUGUUAGGCAGAAUUCAGUGCUCUUGUAGUUCUCAGAUAAAAAGUGCAAACUUCUGAUUCUUUGGCAUAUCUAACUCAGUUGUGUGGUUUUUCUUUAGUUGCAUUGUAACUGAAGAUAACAUGGAACACCAGUGGCAUGGGGGUGAGGGAACCAAACCAUACUUUGAAAUUAGGGUGCUUCUAGCACCCUAGCACGGACUGUAUAGCAUGUGAUAAUUAGUCUCUGGUAGCAAGCUGAUCUGCUUGCAGGUCAGCAAUACUAAUAAUUUCACUGUGCAAUCUUGGUAACAAUUCUGUAAGUUGAGUGAAUUAAGAUGAACUGCAGGAUUUUUUUUUUUUUUCUUGUAAUGUGAUUGGAGAUUUUUUUCAAACAUGGGCUUUAUGGGAAUGGACACCUUUGUUACUAAUGGGCUUAGAUGGGAAUCCGGUGUGAAUAGUUCAGGUUAUGUGACUUGUCUCAAAAUGUUUAUACUCUAAAUCUGGGGAAAGUGGUAUGAAACAUUGACUUGCUUUUAGCUGAUUACAUGUUGGAAUCAUUCCCAGUUACAAGACUUCGUCGUAUUUUAUAGAAUGACAGUACUUGUUCAGAGCAGUUUUUUGAACUUGGUUCCCUUAGCCUUAGGGAUGUGAUGUUACAGUCCAAAAUGCUUAAUGACAAGAAAACAAGUCUUCUGAUACACACUUUCUCUUGUUUUAAAACAAGCUUUGCAUCAAACUGUCAGACCUCAAUUCAAUUCCACUUUGGUUUCUGAGCUGGUUUUUAGUUAGCAUGCAUGAGAAACAGCUUUUAGAUUUAAUGCUUUCUGCUCUAAUAAAAAAGUUGGUUUAUCUUGCAUAAAUGCCGGUGAAAAUUUGAUGACAGAAUUUUCUUUCAUUUCAAGAAAAAUGGCUUGCUCUUUGGCAAGCAGGUUACAAGGUGGGGACAUUUGUAUUCAAAUUGUAAUCCACUCAAGUGAACAACUUUAUUCUCUAAAGAGCUAAUGGUGAUGAGUUUAGCUUCUCCAUAUAUUACUGUAAUGCAAAUCAAGCAGUGAUCAUUGUCAGUGACACUAGUGUCACUAAAUUGCAUAGAACUCUGAUGGGAACUUUGCAGGGUCAUAAUUCUUUAAAUAAAUCGGCAGCCAGUACUUGCUGCCGUGGUUUAGAGAUUUAAAAAUGAAAGAGAAUGUACUUGGUAUAAUGUAUAAGGAAUAUCAUUGGGGUGGGAGUUAAUUUUGCUUUGGUCUGCUUCAAGAUUAGGUUACUACACUUCAGAAUGAGAAGCCAUUUGACUCAGUAGUUAAAAUUUCUAUGUAGCUAUAAAUUGUGAUGCUUAGUAUAGUGUCUUCUUACAAAGCAUUUAAUCAAAAAGUUGGGAAUUAAGUGGAUUUCAGUAAUGAUAUAUUGAGGUGCUUGCAUUGUAUUUCAUAACCUUUUUUACAAACAAAAAUUAUUGUUUUCAAUGGGAAGAGUGAGUUCAGAGGUGUGAUGUCAGAAUGUAUUCGUACUGUUAGGCCCUUGGAACAGAUACCGGUGCUUUCUGAAAGAUGAAAGAAAUGCCAUGGGUACUCUUGAUGCAAGGUUGCAAAUCUACAAAGACUGCAUAAUAGUCUCUCCCUAAUAGAGAUGCGUGUGACUAGUUUUGGACUUUUAACCUUAAUGGGGGUUGCAUGUCUCCUAUUGUUAAUCAUUGUCAGCUGCAGUGACAAGAUACACAGUCCUGCAUUUACUGCCUUUUCCUCAAUGAUUUUGGACAGGCUUUAGAGAGAUGGGGUGUUUGUUCUGGGCCUUUACUUGGUUUUGGCUUUAACUGAUCAUGUUUCAGUGCUGUCAGCUAGUGCAGUUUUCAAAUGGCUGCCUAUUAGGGAAAGAAUUGAGGAUUUGACUGUUUCUAAUCAUCUGUCAUUGCUGCUAGAUAAUGAUUUGCAAUUUUUAAGACUGUGGAAAUGUCACAGUUGUUGAUAGACCAAACAAAAGUUGCAUUUGAACACCAGUGCUGAAACGUUUCUGUUUUUUGAGAGUGAAAUAUGGGGGCUGGACGUAGAAUAGAGUAAGAGUAAUCUGGAGAAUGGGGAAAAGAAUGCAAAACGAUAUAGUAUCCCUUAUGAUGGUACAUGUGCAACAGGGAGCUCUAUUUCAUGUAGCUGUGGCAGUAAUGGUACACGGAGGAAGAAAUACUGGGAACUUGAAUUAAGGCUUAUUGGAAUAUUUUUGUGCACUGUGGCCCUGCUAGGCAUAUAGUGAAGGUGAAUGUCUUUCUCCCUCUGAAAGACAUGGGUUCCUUGCUGUCCCAGUAAGGCAUGGCUUUCUUACCCUAACUUAAAGUUCAGGACUUGAAAGGAGAAGUGUGAGGCAGUACAUUAGGAUUGCAGGGCAAUAUCUGCAGUGUGUGUACUGUGGGAAAAGGGUGAAAGGACAAUGGGAGGACUCCUGCUGAAGGUGGUUAGCCCACCGAACAUGGAAGACAUAUCUGAAUGGGGGAACAGGGUAUGGACUUUCAUAUGAAGAGAACUCAUAAAAACUCCUUUGGGUGAGGUAAACGUUGUCACAUACCUUCACAUAAGGGAUAGUAUAUUUUGGAUUGCAGUCAAAACUUCACUGUGCUCAGACUGGUGAAAGUAGGGUUAGGCUUUUGCCUUUUAAGGAAGAUACAAUUUUCAUUCUAAUUCUAGUGUCUACUUAGAAUGAUUUUAGAUUCCCCCACCCACCCAUGAAGUUUCAUUCUAUUGUUUUUUAUGCUAUAACUUAUCCCAAUCUUUUGUCUCUGGAAUUUUACUCUUUAAAGUUAACUAGCAUUUUCAAACUUAUCUUAAGCCUUUGUCUUAUAUUAACAUUUUUGUAUUAUUCUUUAGGUAACAAUGAUUGAUGUUGGCUGAUGAGGACUGCUCAUUCACUUGAAGUGGAUGUGAUAGUUUGUUCUCAAGACAUCAACCAGGAUGAGCAGAGCAGGAAAGCCACAAAUUGUUACACUGAUAAAAGUAUCUGGGAGCUGGGCCAGCUGUGUAUAGGAAACCAGAAGAGUACAAAGUGCAGUGGAGAAUUUGCCAUUAAUAAACACAUUAAAAUAUC
Long non-coding RNA from Octodon degus (degu), 5462 nucleotides. RefSeq lists it as uncharacterized. NCBI's taxonomy places the organism in Eukaryota, Metazoa, Chordata, Mammalia, Rodentia, Octodontidae. The transcript is spliced from 3 exons. The record is from RefSeq and is a predicted model, not a curated record.